Mauremys reevesii (Reeves's turtle) is the source of this 3965-nucleotide long non-coding RNA. RefSeq lists it as uncharacterized. Lineage: Eukaryota; Metazoa; Chordata; Testudines; Geoemydidae. The record is from RefSeq and is a predicted model, not a curated record. The transcript has 3 exons.
AGAGGGGGAAGGUUGGUCUUCUGAGCCAGGAGACCAGCACCUAGGGCAGGCUUGUGGGAGCAGAAGGGAACUCCAGUCUGGUACCUGCCAGGCUGCAGGCCCUGAGGGAAGGGCCUAGCUGGUGCAAAGAGGCUGAAGGGGAAGUGGCCCAGGGACAGAAGUGUACAAGGGAAGAGAAGGAGGGUAGGAAGGCUGCCACCAAAGGGUCCCUGGGUUGGGACCCAGUGUAGAGGAUGGGCCUGGGUCCCCUGCCUUCCCCUUUGCAUGAACACCCAGCCAGUGGAUGUGGUGAUAGUGGACUGCACUAGACCUCUGACACUAGGGGUUAGACUUUGGGGUGUGGUUGACCACAGUGGCUGGGGCACAGAGAAGGACUGCUGAUAACACUAGACCCCUGGAAGGGGGUGAGAUUGGAGCAGUGGGCACUGCUGGAGGGCAGUGUCCUGAAGAGGAUGCUGCUGAGUGGGAAGCAAUGUGGGUCCAGACAACAACAAAGGAGCAGAGGAUGGAUGGGACACUACCAGCAGUGGGUGCCCCACCAUGGACUGAGCUAAUUCCUGGAAGUAACCAUUUUAACCAUGGUGGGCUAUGCUGUAUGCAACUUCCAAGAGGCUAGAUGUAAGAAACUUCAAGGUCAUCCCUACUUUGUUUGUAAUUGCAAGGGCAGAAUGCUGCCUUCAUCUGAAAGGAAGAGAAACAAUGGAUGACUGUGUUACUGAAGUAGGAAAUGCCUGCUGCACAAUGCCACAGCUCUUCUGAAAGUCCGUCCUCUUCGCUGUCUCUAAAAGCCCUGUGAGACUGAAAACAGAUUUGUCUGUUCUUUGUCAGAUAGCAAAAGGGGGGGCCUCUGACUCCGACAAAAGCUUGGUAAAUCGUUAAUCAUUUAUACAGUGCUGUAGACCUAUGAAGCAUUGCACACAGGGAAAAUGUGCCCAACAAAUCACAGAAGGUAAAAUUUUCAAAAGUGUAGUUAGGUUAAGUCAAGUCUGAAAAUGGGACAUGAGUGUUUUGAAAACUUGCCGGCAGUAUUUGUCCUAGUCUAUAUGCAAAAGGGAUGACAGAAAAGAGGAUAAACUUAGAGCUAUUUUAACUUCCAGGAUCAUGAAGGGCUGGACUGAGGUAGCCAUGGAUGGGAACAUCUCACAACUCCUUUCCAGUUUGAAAAAUAAGGAUGGGAACUGAAUCUCAUAGCAUGUGGGCUGAACACCUUUAACAUCAGAGAAAUGUGCAUGUGGACAAAUAUUAGAGCAUAAUUCACAUUUGGGUUUGGAGAUUGUUAGGACAGAGCAGGGUCUGACUUGCCCUUUGAUCUCAGCAUGCUCAAAUGUUUCUCCUACUAUGUAUAGUGGGGAAGAAUGAAGAAUCCACUCUCUCCUCAAGACCAUCUCUGACCCUAGAGGAGUUUUAUAGCUAAUUACCCCAUCUCUGCAUAUGUAGGGGAAAGGUUAACUUUGUUUUCCAAUGACACAACUGAUGGUCCUGUUAAAUUCCUCACCCUAUCAUCUCAAUGUGAGGGGGCGAGAAUAGCUCAGGGCAUGUCUACUCUACAAAUGCCCCAGCAGCACAGCUGGGGCACAGCAGCUCUGCUGCUAUAGUGUAGACUCUUGCUACAGCAAUGGAAGGGGUUUUUGGUUGUAUUUAAACCACCCCUUGAGAGGUGGUAGGUAGGUUAAGGGAAGAAGUCUUCUGUUGACGUAGCUGCAUCUAUAGUGGGAGUGAGGUUGACCUAUCUGUUCCACAGGGCAAGACACUUUUCACAAUCCUGGGUGAAGCAGCUAGGUUGACCUUUAGUUUUAGGUGUAGAGAAGGCCUUUGUUUCCAGUCACUAUGAAGAAGCAGAAAUUUGGCUAAUAGGGCCCCAACAAUUCUAAAUGAUGACAAAUUAGUCAUGUGGCGUUCAGGUUAAGAAAUGAGUAAGUUUGGGUCAGCAUUUAUUGUCACUGAACACAGUCAUGCAUCCCUAGUCAGAAUGUUCUGAGUUGUGUAACUAGAACAGAGUGGCUAUUGCAGAAGCAGUGAAUACAAAUACAUGUUUAUCUCUUCAAUGUGACCAUUUUAAUGGAUACUCCUAAACAAGCACUUGAAUAGAUACUUGCUCGCACCACUGUCUGGGGAGCAGGCACUCUUCAGAUCCUUGUUUUGUGUGCAAAAUUAAUGCUUAUACCCAUGUGCAGGGGAAAAUAUUUACUAUUCAUCCUUACUUAUUCUCCUGUUUUUGAAAUGUUACUCUUCCAAUUGAGAGAGAGAAACAACACUGUCAUGUAGACUACCAGUCAUACCCUGCAAAUGGUGCUGAAGAGACUAGUUUGAGUUUAUAAUCUGUCCAGACUCCUUUUGUUCAAUAUUUGUGGAGCACAAAUAGAUUCACAGAAAUCAGGAUGAAUGUGCAUACAAUUCAGAACUUGUGCACAAAAAUCCAGCUUCAGUAGUACAGCUGGUCAUGUUUUCAUUGAAGAUGAGAGGAGAAUGUCUGAAAGGUGUAAGUAAUGCACAUGCUUUGGUAAAAGUUUUAACUGGAGAAGAGGCACCUUAUUUACCACUUAACUGGUGUCCAUUAUCGCUCUACUGCUAACUGAAUUAAAUAGUAGGAUUCUGAUGUUUAGUAAUGAAGAGCACUAGGAAUAGAAAACCAAUAGUUUACUUUGGCACUUUUGGUGUCUAUCCUAUACCCUAAAACUGAAUUCAAGUCACUUGUAUAUCACCAGCUUUAACACACCAAAUAAGCCAGACCCCACCUUGAAAAUACCAGAUCCUAGAAGCAAAGGAACAGAAAAAACAAGGUGCAAACUGGCAUCCAGCUGAACAAAGGCAUUCUGACUAAAGACUUUUGUUUGUUCUCCAAUAUUCUUAAUUCAGAGCCUGUGUGUCAGCUUUCAUAGCAGGAAAACCCUGCAGUUGAGUAAUUGUGCAUGAUUUCCAAUUCUCCACACAGCUGCUUCAUUGGAAAAUGUCAGAACCCACAAAUGCAUUUAUAAAUAGCACCAGCACUGAAAGAACACUUUUACUAUAUGUAUUAGACCAUACACUUGUAACCUGGCACUGCUUCCAUCUACAGGGUAAUAAUCAAAUUUUGUUUUGCAAUUCUAGCACAUCUUGGAUAACGUUUUCUGAACAGCUACCAUACUUGUGGCAGGUACUUGAAACAUGAACUUUGGGAACCUGGGCAUUUCCCAAACAGAAGAGAAUUCACUGCAAUCUAAAGGCUUUUUAAUUUUUUUUCUGAAGGAGCUAAAAUACUUAAGUGAAGGCUAAUGGAACUUACAGGAUCUAUUCCACCCCAGGUGGGAAGAGAUCAGGCCCAUUGACUUCACACAGGUCUAAGCUCAGAAACUUGCAUGCAGACAUUCUGAGGUGGUCAGGGAAAAUGCUAACAAUUAUUCUGAAAUAUGAAAGGUGUGUGCAUGCAUACACAUUCCCAGAGCAUUAUUCCAUAGACUCCCCAUUUAUUUCAAGAUCUAGUUUUAAGAUGUCCUAUUUUUUUAAACAUUCUCAGCUUGUUCCAGCCCAACAGGUUUCACUGCCCCUCAUUGCUCCACUUCCAGUUGUCCAACACUAAGUUCCUUUCUGUAACUCCAAUAGUUGUACAGCUGUUGAUGCAAAAGCAUUGGCCUCAGCUUUUCCAUAGUCAGGAACUGCAAUCUUCCCUCUACACUACAAAGAUUCUCUGCUUGAUUGAAAUGUCACCUGAAAACAUAGCCAUUGUAUAGGCAAGGGAGAAGUUCUAAAUGUCUUUCUUUUGGCUAUUAGUUGUUUGGGAUACAGUGCAUAGGAAAGAUGCUAUUAAAAACUGAACUGUGGUAUAAUGGAGAGGAGAGCUGUUAGGCUUGUGAGCUAUAAGGAAUGGUAUGGGCAAAAUGAGCUUCCUUGUCCUGAGAAGCAAUGAAGGCCAGUGACACCUAAAAGGGCAGGCAAAACUAACUCUUGCAAAGGUUGGUUUUUAGUCAAUCUACAAUAGGAGACUCUCU